GACGAACGCUGGCGGCGUGCUUAACACAUGCAAGUCGAACGGAAAGGCCCUGCUUUUGUGGGGUGCUCGAGUGGCGAACGGGUGAGUAACACGUGAGUGACCUGCCCUUGACUGUGGGAUAACUUCAGGAAACUGGGGCUAAUACCGGAUAGGAGCUCCUGCUGCAUGGUGGGGGUUGGAAAGUUUCGGCGGUGGGGGAUGGACUCGCGGCUUAUCAGCUUGUUGGUGGGGUAGUGGCUUACCAAGGCUUUGACGGGUAGCCGGCCUGAGAGGGUGACCGGCCACAUUGGGACUGAGAUACGGCCCAGACUCCUACGGGAGGCAGCAGUGGAGAAUAUUGCACAAUGGGCGGAAGCCUGAUGCAGAAGCGCCGCGUGCGGGAUGACGGCCUUCGGGUUGUAAACCGCUUUCGCCUGUGACGAAGCGUGAGUGACGGUAAUGGGUAAAGAAGCACCGGCUAACUACGUG
Molecule: ribosomal RNA, 468 nt
Filed under: uncultured bacterium
Lineage: Bacteria
Description: partial 16S ribosomal RNA
Rfam family: Bacterial small subunit ribosomal RNA
Source: RNAcentral